This 899-nucleotide ribosomal RNA is filed under the name Evanscystis patescens. RNAcentral's name for it is "partial 16S ribosomal RNA". The stretch from base 482 to 627 matches the Rfam family "Archaeal large subunit ribosomal RNA", at positions 1889 to 2083 of the family's 2987-position model. The record is from RNAcentral. Lineage: Eukaryota; Metazoa; Mollusca; Gastropoda; Stylommatophora; Euconulidae.
AGAUUAAAUUAAAAAAGAAGGUAACCUCUGAGAACUUGUGGGUUUUAAUUUUAUGCUUUUUUUUGUGAAGUUGUUCCAAGUAUAUUAAAGUUACCUUUUGCAUAAUGGUUUAAUUAACUUUAAAGAUUUUUUUUUCCCGAAAUAAAAAGAUCUAAUAAAAAGAUUAAAAAUAUGUUUUAAAAUAUUUAUUUUAUUUUCUAUUAGGUGUGAAAGGCUAAUCAAUUUUUAUGAUAUCUGGAUAAGAUUAAAUGUAUUUAGUACAGGCUUAAAGCUGAAGGACCUCCUGUUAAGGGGAGGUCCUAAAAGUAUAACUUUAAAAUAAUCUAUUUAGGAUAAUUCUGUAAUAAUUUAUUAAAAACGAAGAUUUUUUUUUCAGGUUUCUUAAAUUUACUCUAGAAAAUUUUAAAUUUACCAAAUUUUUCAUAAUGUUAAAAUAAGUAUUAUUAAUAAUUUAAAUGUAGGAACUCGGCAAAAAAUUUCUCAACUGUUUAUCAAAAACAUAGUUUUAUGAAGUAGUAUAAAAUGAAUUCUGCCCAAUGAUUUAUUUAAUGGCCGCAGUACUUUAACUGUGCUAAGGUAGCAUAAUAAUUUGGCUUUUAAUUAAGGUCUGGUAUGAAAGGAUUUUUGGGUAAUAACUGUCUUUAUUUAAUUUCUAAAAAUUUACUUAAAAGGUGAAAAUUCCUUUAAUUUUAAAAUAGACGAGAAGACCCUAGGAGUUUUUGUUUUGUUGGGGCGACAUUUUAGUAAAUAACCUAAAUAAAAAAUUUAACGGUUAUAUCAAUUAUAGAUAAACUACCCUAGGGAUAACAGCAUAAUUAUUGAUUUGUUUGUGACCUCGAUGUUGGACUAGGAAAUUUUAAUAUUAAAAAUAUUAAAAAUUUGUUCUGUUCGAACAUUUC